CCUGUUUCCACUCAAGAGAUCCCAACUGAUGGCCGCCUGCUUCAGUCUCGGGGGCACCAGCAGGGUGGCCGUGUCAUCAACACCAACUGCUCGGCGGUGCGCACCCGUCAGGCCCUCUGCUGCAAGAUGUCCGUGGAGUACGACAAGUUCAUUGAGUCCGGGCGCAAGUGGUUCUGCCACGUGGAUGACGACAAUUAUGUGAACCCCAGGAGCCUCCUGCAUCUGCUCUCCAGCUUCUCACCCAGCCAGGACGUCUACCUGGGGCGGCCCAGCCUGGACCACCCCAUCGAGGCCACCGAGAGGGUCCAGGGUGGCAGAACUGUGACUACGGUGAAGUUCUGGUUUGCUACUGGUGGGGCCGGUUUCUGCCUCAGCAGAGGCCUUGCUCUCAAGAUGAGCCCAUGGGCCAGGUGAGUGGGGGUCCAGCUGCCUGGGCUGGGAGGCGGAGGCUGAGACCUGAAAGGUGCUGACCGGCCUCCCCCCAGCCUGGGCAGCUUCAUGAGCACAGCUGAGCAGGUGCGGCUGCCGGAUGACUGCACAGUGGGCUACAUCGUGGAGGGACUCCUGGGCGCCCGCCUGCUGCACAGCGCCCUCUUCCACUCUCACCUGGAGAACCUGCAGAGGCUGCCGCCGGACACCCUGCUCCAGCAGGUUACCUUGAGCUAUGGGGGUCCUGAGAACCCACAUAACGUAGUGAACGUGGCUGGAGGCUUCAGCCUGCAUCAGGACCCCACACGGUUUAAGUCUAUCCACUGCCUUCUCUACCCAGACACGGACUGGUGUCCCAGGCAGAAGC
This 796-nucleotide small RNA is filed under the name Pongo abelii (Sumatran orangutan). Its description in RNAcentral is "processed transcript". Lineage: Eukaryota; Metazoa; Chordata; Mammalia; Primates; Hominidae. The record is from RNAcentral.